GCCCACGCCAUUCACCUCACUCCAUCUCAUCACGCAGGCAUUGUAUCAUCUCACAUCACCACAAGAAGAAGGGUAUCAACUGGUCAUGUUCUUCCCAACGUGUAUUCUGGUUUAGGGUAAAAUGGAUCCCAGUGGAGUCUGAGAGAAUGGAUCAGUUCAACCCCUCUAAGAGCUUGACCUCUAAGCAUAGAGGUGGAGCCGACUGCUUUCCCAUCCAUCAGUUCUCUUUCAACCUGAUGUGGAGAUGAUGACAAAAAGAAUGGACUUUAACAAGAAGUAGUUAACAUUCAAAGCCAGCCUCCUGACUUGACACUAUCCUCCUAGAUUUGGAGGCUUUUUGUUUUCAU
This 347-nucleotide long non-coding RNA is filed under the name Equus asinus (donkey). RNAcentral describes it as "lncRNA (ENSEASG00005030999.1)". Lineage: Eukaryota; Metazoa; Chordata; Mammalia; Perissodactyla; Equidae. The record is from RNAcentral.